Molecule: ribosomal RNA, 630 nt
Filed under: Triticum aestivum (bread wheat)
Lineage: Eukaryota; Viridiplantae; Streptophyta; Magnoliopsida; Poales; Poaceae
Description: partial small subunit ribosomal RNA
Source: RNAcentral
AUGAGCAGCCGCCGCCGCCGCCGCCGCCACGCCCGCUCGCCGGCGACCGCGCCCCUGGACGACGACGACCUGCUCUCCGAGAUCCUGCUCCGCCUCCCGCCGCAGCCCUCCUCCCUCCCGCGCGCAUCCCUCGUCUGCAAGCGCUGGCGCUGCCUCGUCUCCGACCCCGGCUUCUUCCGCCGAUUCCGCCUCCGCCAUCGCCACAACCCUCCCCUCCUCGGUUUCUUCGACAGAUAUGAAGGUCGGCCCUUCCUACUUACUCUGGAUGCCCCCAAUCGUGUCCCUCCCGAGCGCUUCUCCUUGCUGUGCGACAAGGAUCACGAAGACUCCAUGACCCUUGGAUGUCGCCAUGGUCUCGUGCUCGUCUAUCGUAUGAGGCGUUUCCAGGUCCUGGUGUGGGACCCCGUCACCGGCGACCAGCACCACAUUGCCGUUCCCCGGGAGUUCGAGAAGAACCUAAUCAACGGGGCGGUGCUUCGCGCUGACGGUGACGCCCAGCACUUCAAGGUGGUUCUGGCAGUGGCAGACGGCGACGACGUACAACAUACACGAGCGCUCGCCUGUGUUUACUCAUCAAAGACCGACGUACAACUCACAUUAUUUAUUGUUAUGCUAAAAAUAUUUAGGUAG